RNAcentral lists this ribosomal RNA (468 nucleotides) under uncultured bacterium. RNAcentral's name for it is "partial 16S ribosomal RNA". It matches the Rfam family "Bacterial small subunit ribosomal RNA", at positions 28 to 507 of the family's 1533-position model. The record is from RNAcentral.
GACGAACGCUGGCGGCGUGCUUAACACAUGCAAGUCGAACGGUGAAGCUCCAGCUUGCUGGAGUGGAUCAGUGGCGAACGGGUGAGUAACACGUGAGCAACCUGCCCCUGACUCUGGAAUAAGCGCUGGAAACGGCGUCUAAUACUGGAUACGAGAAGGGUCCGCAUGGGCACUUUCUGGAAAGUUUUUCGGUUGGGGAUGGGCUCGCGGCCUAUCAGCUUGUUGGUGAGGUAAUGGCUCACCAAGGCGACGACGGGUAGCCGGCCUGAGAGGGCGACCGGCCACACUGGGACUGAGACACGGCCCAGACUCCUACGGGAGGCAGCAGUGGGGAAUAUUGCACAAUGGGCGAAAGCCGGAUGCAGCGACGCCGCGUGAGGGAUGACGGCCUUCGGGUUGUAAACCUCUUUCAGCAGGGAAGAAGCGAAAGUGACGGUACCUGCAGAAGAAGCACCGGCUAACUACGUG